CCUGGAGGAAGGUGGGGAUGACGUCAAAUCAUCAUGCCCCUUAUGCUUAGGGCUACACACGUGCUACAAUGGGUAGUACAGAGGGUUGCCAAGCCGUAAGGUGGAGCUAAUCCCUUAAAGCUACUCUCAGUUCGGAUUGUAGGCUGAAACUCGCCUACAUGAAGCUGGCGUUACUAGUAAUCGCAGAUCAGAAUGCUGCGGUGAAGGCGUUCCCGGGUCCUGUACACACCGCCCGUCCCACCACGGGAGUUGGAGCCGCCCGACGCCGCUUAUCUGACCGUUUGGAGGAAGUCGUCGAAGGUGGAAUUAAUAACUGGGGUGAAGUCGUAACAAGGUAGCCGUAUCGGAAGGUGCGGCUGGAUCAC
Molecule: ribosomal RNA, 365 nt
Filed under: Clostridioides difficile
Lineage: Bacteria; Bacillati; Bacillota; Clostridia; Peptostreptococcales; Peptostreptococcaceae
Description: bacterial SSU rRNA
Rfam family: Bacterial small subunit ribosomal RNA
Source: RNAcentral